RNAcentral lists this ribosomal RNA (451 nucleotides) under uncultured bacterium. RNAcentral describes it as "partial 16S ribosomal RNA". It matches the Rfam family "Bacterial small subunit ribosomal RNA", at positions 29 to 523 of the family's 1533-position model. The record is from RNAcentral.
AACGAACGCUGGCGGCAGGCUUAACACAUGCAAGUCGAACGGUUGUAGCAAUACAGCAGUGGCAGACGGGUGAGUAACACGUGGGAACCUUCCUAGGGGUACGGAACAACUCAGGGAAACUUGAGCUAAUACCGUAUACGUCCGUGAGGAGAAAGAUUUAUCGCCCUUAGACGGGCCCGCGUCGGAUUAGCUAGUUGGUGGGUUAAAGGCCUACCAAGGCGACGAUCCGUAGCUGAUCUUAGAGGAUGAUCAGCCACACUGGGACUGAGACACGGCCCAGACUCCUACGGGAGGCAGCAGUGGGGAAUCUUGGACAAUGGGCGCAAGCCUGAUCCAGCCAUGCCGCGUGAGUGAAGAAGGUCUUCGGAUUGUAAAGCUCUUUUGCCAGGGACGAUAAUGACGGUACCUGGAGAAUAAGCCCCGGCAAACUUCGUGCCAGCCGCCGCAGUAA